Molecule: ribosomal RNA, 492 nt
Filed under: uncultured bacterium
Lineage: Bacteria
Description: partial 16S ribosomal RNA
Rfam family: Bacterial small subunit ribosomal RNA
Source: RNAcentral
AGUGAACGCUGGCGGUAGGCCUAACACAUGCAAGUCGAACGGCAGCACAGUAAGAGCUUGCCCUUACGGGUGGCGAGUGGCGGACGGGUGAGGAAUACAUCGGAAUCUACUUUUUCUUGGGGGAUAACGUAGGGAAACUUACGCUAAUACCGCAUACGACCUACGGGUGAAAGCAGGGGAUCUUCGGACCUUGCGCGAUUGAAUGAGCCGAUGUCGGAUUAGCUAGUUGGCUGGGUAAAGGCCCACCAAGGCGACGAUCCGUAGCUGGUCUGAGAGGAUGAUCAGCCACACUGGAACUGAGACACGGUCCAGACUCCUACGGGAGGCAGCAGUGGGGAAUAUUGGACAAUGGGCGCAAGCCUGAUCCAGCCAUACCGCGUGGGUGAAGAAGGCCUUCGGGUUGUAAAGCCCUUUUGUUGGGAAAGAAAAGCAGCAGGUUAAUACCCCGCUGUUCUGACGGUACCCAAAGAAUAAGCACCGGCUAACUUCGUG